ACUUGCCUAGUAAAAUAAAAAAGUUCUCAAAAGAGCCUUUGCUCUGCUGAGCAGUUUGUUUUCAGAAACUGCUCUCCUAUGGAGAGGCAUGCUGGUCUAUUUCGCCAAAUAUCUCACAUGUCAGACACCAUUUUAAUCAUGAUAAUCUCCUCUUUCUAAUGACAUAAGGUUGUGCAGUGUACUCUGCUGUCAUCGAUCACUAGACCAGAAAUAGUCAGAAGUUGCAGUUUUUGUCCUACUUCCUCAUUACGCAGACAUAAGCCCACUUGAGACCAUCGAGGUGCGGAUGUUUACUUUUUACAUGAGUUGUUAUUUUUCAUUUUCGUCCUAAGAACAAAUUGUAGUGAUAAAAUAAAAAGGAAGACAUUUUUUGGUGCCAUUUAGGGAAAAUGGAAUUCUAAGCUUCACUCAUGUCAGAAGAGGAUCAGCGAAGGAUUCUACAGACAAUCACGGAUUACAAAGGGGAAAUCAGCCACAUCUCGGACAUCAACGUCUUGCUCCCAGACAAGCUAAACACCUCCUUCGCCCACUUUGAUGAUGACACAGUGCACCCCAACUCAGCCUGCUCCUAAGGACUGUGGGCUCUCGUUCUCCGCAGCCGACAGACCUGCUGUCCCCACUUGCUUCAAGAUGUCCUCCA
Oncorhynchus tshawytscha (Chinook salmon) is the source of this 640-nucleotide long non-coding RNA. RefSeq lists it as uncharacterized. NCBI's taxonomy places the organism in Eukaryota, Metazoa, Chordata, Actinopteri, Salmoniformes, Salmonidae. The record is from RefSeq and is a predicted model, not a curated record. The transcript has 3 exons.